Molecule: ribosomal RNA, 423 nt
Filed under: Isochrysis galbana
Lineage: Eukaryota; Haptophyta; Isochrysidales; Isochrysidaceae
Description: partial Bacterial large subunit ribosomal RNA
Rfam family: Bacterial large subunit ribosomal RNA
Source: RNAcentral
AGGCUGAUGAUGCCCAAGAGUCCAUAUCGACGGCAUUGUUUGGCACCUCGAUGUCGGCUCAUCGCAUCCUGGGGCUGAAGGCGGUCCCAAGGGUUAGGCUGUUCGCCUAUUAAAGCGGUACGCGAGCUGGGUUCAGACCGGCGUGAGCCAGGUCGGUCCCUAUCUGCUGUGGGCGUACCAUGUUUGAGAGGAUUCUUCUUUAGUACGAGAGGAUUAGGAAGGACGUACCCCUGGUGCGCCGGUUGGUCUGCUAAGGCCAUCGCCGGGUAGCUAAGUACGGCAGGGAUAACCACUGAAAGCAUCUAAGUGGGAAGCCCCCCUCGAGAUUAGACAUGGAUGAGACCCCUCGGAGACUACGAGGUUGAUAGGACGCAAGUGUAAGGGCCGAAAUGCCUUCAGCUGAGCGUUACUAACGGUCGAUCG